ACGACCAUAUCAGUUUGGAAUCAUCGGUUUUCCUUCGAUCACCGAAGACAAACAAAAUCACACCCGGUUAGUAACUGCAUGAAUGAUGGACUAGGGAUACCGGAUGUGGCGCCCGUC
This 117-nucleotide ribosomal RNA is filed under the name Fasciola gigantica. Lineage: Eukaryota; Metazoa; Platyhelminthes; Trematoda; Plagiorchiida; Fasciolidae. The record is from RNAcentral.